Long non-coding RNA from Ipomoea nil (Japanese morning glory), 268 nucleotides. RefSeq lists it as uncharacterized. Lineage: Eukaryota; Viridiplantae; Streptophyta; Magnoliopsida; Solanales; Convolvulaceae. The record is from RefSeq and is a predicted model, not a curated record. The transcript has 2 exons.
GAAGUAUAUCAAGGGUGCUACAAAGUUCCUUGUCUCACAAAGCUCAGUGACCUCCAAUUUUUUAUCGGGGAGAUCAUGGCUGAUGACAACACCCUGGUCUUUGCUUACUACAAGGAUGGUGCCACUAACCCAACAUUCUUGUGCUUCCCCCAUUGUCUCAAUGAGGUCAAGUGCUCGAAGAUCAAACUAGGUGUCUUAAUGAUCUUUGGUGGUGUUUUUUGUAGUUGUAUUACUUAAAAUACUUAGUUUCGGUUUUCGUGCAUUGCUA